Non-coding RNA from Pantherophis guttatus, 2535 nucleotides. The record is from RefSeq and is a predicted model, not a curated record. Lineage: Eukaryota; Metazoa; Chordata; Lepidosauria; Squamata; Colubridae.
UCCUCCCUCUGCAAUAUGGUGACAUGCUCUUCCCCCCCUUAAUAGAACUCCACCCUGUCUUUGUCCAUGUACGCCCACCCGGUGCUACUUCACCCGGCACCUCGGUGAGCCUCUUGGCAAAAAAAACUGAUUCGUGGGGGGGCGGCUAAUGGGGGUCGGUGAAAGCGUCCUACGGGGCAUUCAAAACCAAGCAUGAAAUAUAUCCGUAGACCUCGGUGGUUGCAAAACGCGCCCCGUGAACUGUUCCCCGCCCCCAGCAAAUCCCUUCCGCGUGCUUGGUGGGAAUUUGCUUUUUCCUUGUAAAGUUACGGACGGGGUUGGGUGUAUUGGGAUUCGUCUACUACAUUCACUUCCUUUCCGUUCCCUGGCGAACUCCCGGUAUUGCGAUAUAUCGGGAUUUGUUAAACGUUUAACGAACUGGAGGCGGGAGACCCCCGCGCCGCUUCCUUUUCCUAAAAUAGGCCUAGUUGAAUAGCGCGGUGCUGGGUGAAGUCUAAGAAUAUCUGGCGAUGAAUGUGUAACGCCGUCUAAAGUAGACGUGCCCGAGGUCUUUGGCGUGAAUGGGGGAGAAGAGGAAAUAUAAGCGGUGGUAACUGGAGCCAUCCUUUAUCCUGGGCACCCGAGGACUUUUAAAAUGCAUGCUGAUUUUUUUUGGUGGGGGGGGCGCUUCUUAAAAACCCGUCGGCGUUUUGAUUUGCUUGAAUUGGGGGUGGGGUGUGUGUGGUGGGGAGAAGCGACGAGCUACCGAGAGCUGAAAGCCUCCCCCCCCUCCCUUGAAGCGGGGGAGGAGGGCAUCCGAAGCGCGUGUAGCCGAGGAAGGCAGACCGUGUGCUGAUUUAAGGGAGGCCGAGGCGGCGGUGGGUCAUGCGGCUCAACCGGGGCGGGGCACUGGGAAAAGUGCUGCAUUUGGAAGGUUCCAUGGCGUUGUUGCGGCGUUUGUAGGCCCCAGCGCAAACGUGCCUCUGGCGACGGUUUGAGCGCUCCGUCGCCCAAACGCCUCGCCGCCCAAUGGCUAGGCGUGUGUGUGUGUGUCGCCCAUUCGGCGUUUCCUCCCUUUCCCAGCAUUCCACUGCAGUAAAGGCAACGUGGUUUUUCUUUGGGUUGCGAGCAUGUGAUUUUCCUGAACUCGCGCUGGGUUUUUUGGACUCCCCCUUUCCGGCCGUGUCGUAUAGCCCGUCUGUUUUUUAGCUUUGAGCUCUUGGGGGAAAGCUGCUUUAAAAGCCCCUUCGGAUAGCUAUCGCGACUUGUAGCGAUAACGAAGCCUACGCCUAGGACGGAAGGCAGAAAAAUAGGCCUCUCUGCACCUGUUCUUUGGAAUUCUAUAAGCAAAAUCUGAAGAAAUUUUGUUUCAAGAUAUUUUUUAGAUUUGAUUAGGCUUCAAACUUUUAAACUCAUAAAGUGUGCUUCAUAAUGGAAACCUGUUCUGUCAUCAAUGCCACUGCCAGUUUAUGUACCCUUGGAUAGUUACGGCAACACACUUUCCUUAUUCCUUUCCUUCUUGUCUGCUACAGAGUACUCCCACUACAGCUAAUUUAACAAUAGAGAAGAAACAUGGGUGUGCUCAUACAUUCCCAGAUUGGAUUAAGCAAUUGCAGAUUACCAACAUGGAUUAAGUGAAUUGAAUUGAUACAGCUAACCAGAACUGUUUUUUAAAAAGCUUGCUGUGUUAUGCCAUUUACUUGCUAAAGAUGUACAUGGGCAAAUGUGAUGGGAACAUUUAUAUUUGUGUGAUACUCAAUACCAAAGGUAUUUAUUGUUUAAGAGUUUAUUGUUACACUACAAAUGUGUAUGUGUGUUAUGAGAAAGCAUACAAUAUUGAAAUUUUACUUUAUAUGAUAAAUGUUUAUCAAAAUGGAUUGUUGAUAAAAGGAGACACCCAAUCUGAUAUCAGAGCUAAAUCGGAUAACUAUUGUUGAGGUACCAUGUUCUAAUAGAGUACUGGACUGAAAGUAUUGGAAGUGGUGAUAGAGAUCUCUAGGUCCAUUCCGUUACUGCAACAUCUGACAGAUGGCCAUCAAUCCUUCUUUUAAAUACCUGCAGUGAAGGAAAGUUUCCUACCUCCUGAGGCAGUUUGAUUUUGUUGAAAUUAAGAAAUUAAAAUAUGAUACAGUAGAUGUUUAUUCAAUGUCUUUCAGAAGAACUGAAGUCACCUAAGGGGAAAAAUUAUCUUGAGAUCUGUUUGAUCAUCUAUUCCUAAUGCCUUCACUAACUGCAUUAAUACAAGUGUGUAUAAAAACAGCUUAAUUUCUUACUAAAUGUGACAGAAGUCUUUUCAACAUGCGUAAAUUACAGUAGUCUUUCAUCAAGGCCCUGCUUAAUUUCAACAACAUCGUUGCUUCAUUCUCAAGCUAUGCCCUGGGUCAUGUGUUAUAUACUAAACCUUGUAAUUCUUUGACUAGGGGUAUCAAUAUUGUAUGGAUUCAGCGAAUUAAAGAAACUAUGACUAGAUAUAAUGCAUGUACUCGGCCUAUCUCCUAGUAAAAUAACACUAAAUCACGUUUUGAUGCUGCAAUAAAAAGCUUUGUGUGCAUGUUU